AAUCCUUCUGGCAGUGGGGUUCCGUCAUAGCAUCUUCAUUUUGCUGUUCAGAAGAACAAGCCUCCCUACAGCCACCUGCUGGAAGUCACACAGGUGGCAGGGUGUUGCCUCGCUCAGUUUUCAAGGGUUACACUCAGCAGAAAAAGCCUGCAUCGGACGCAUGUGUCCUGAGAGCAUUCUGAGUUGAAAUAAACAUCCCUGUGUUUCCAUCUCUGCAUGCUUUCCUGAAGUAUAAUUGUUGGGUCGAAAGCAGCUUCAGGAACUGCUUGUCUUCAUAGUCAAAGCGGCUUCCAAAGACGACAGAACUGAUGACAUUUGAGACAGUGCGGCUCAGGAAGAAGCUGGGAUGUGGAAUUGAUGGCUGGAGCUCUAGCAGUCAUUUGCAUCAUGACAUGAUCUUGGGAAUGGAAAACACACAUCAUAGAACAAGAGAGAAGAGCCAGACCCUGUGGAGCACCCUACACUGACAACCUCUGAAAGUGUCCAAUAUAUGGCAAAGAUCACCAGGACAGACAUGUGGCAGACUGGAAGAGGUAAAGACCUCUCAGAUGUCCAUGUUACCAGGAAGAAGGAACCGUCCUUGGCCAUGGGCCCUGGAAUCAGAGAUCCUGGGGUUCAGCCUCUUCAGUAACCUGAAUACCUUUGGAUUAAAAUCCUGGGGGUUGGAUCCCACGUGGGAGUUGCCACAGGAACUUCUAAGAUCUGGGGGACUCUUCAGGUGCUGCCAAGUUUCUUUGGCCUGGACUGUGAUGUCCCAAGUGGAUUCAGGUGAACCCAGCAUCGUGUUUGUUUCUGUAGCAGUUGUGUACAGCACCCCUUCCUGUACGUUGCCUUUUUGCUGGAAAAUAUUGCACGUUGAAUCAAACUUUCUAUACAAGUUAGAGGUGGAGGGGUGCACCUCACCCAAGGUCAUGCCUUUUCUGGGGCAGCCCACUUCAGCGAUUGAUGGAGAUGCAGGACAAUUCUGAUGAGCCAUAUUGCUCCAGAGCACCCAUGGAGUUAGCUGAGGCUGGUAUGGAAUCAGCCACAGAGCUAACUUCUUCCUCCACCCACUCCUGCUUCCUGGUCUCCCUUCUAUGGGUGUUGGUUGAUGCCAACAACACUCCCUAAUAACUAUCCUACAGACCAAACUCCAUGUCAGAGUCUGCUUCCCAAAGAACCCAACCAGCAACAGCCACGUACUGGAUGAAGACAGUCAUCUAAGUGUAUAGAAGUUAACCAUGUGGUGAGCACCCAUUGUUGUAGGUGUGCUAAGAAGUGCAUUCAGGACAUGCCUACCACCUUCUGGCUAUCUGUUCUGUAUCUUUCAUGCUGUUAUGUGCCACAUCCACUUCAUACAGAGGAAGAAACUGGAGAGAGAUUCUGAGGCCUGGUACCAUUUCAGGAGCUUUUAAGACCUCUGAGACUCUUCAGAUGCUGCCAAGUUUCUUUGGUCUGGACUGAGAUGUCCCAAGUGGAUUCAGGUGCAUCCAGAUGAGUUGCCAAAGAUAUCCCUUCUGUGCCGUUCUGUUCUCAUAUCCUGAGCCAUGCAAACUGUAAAGCCAUAGUAAAUAUGAAACAACAGAGACUAGGUAAACUGGGUAGAAAUGAUACUGGUGGAAACUUUAUUUUGGGUCUCUUGUGAGGUUGCUGCCUGGGGCUAAAUUGAUCCGAAGGCUUGGCUGAGGCUGCAAGAUUCAUUCCUGAGUCCACUCAAGUGACUAUAAUACUACAGAAUAAGGAAUUUAUUAUAGAAAUUAGACCUUACAAAAUGGUGGGACUAGCUAGAAAGAUAAAGAUCUGAACAGGGAAUCAAGAACCAGAGAAAGCUCAUUAAACAGCCCUGAGACAGAUGAGUGAGUCAGAAAUCUGGAUGUUAGGCACAUCCAUUGUUAGAGAAAGACCACGAAGGGGGAGGGACUUCUCUAGAAGCUUAUUGGCUUUUUGGGCUACCACUUCUGUGAGUUCAAAGUGAGAUGGCUGAUGGUGGGUUUGGGGCCACUUUUGAUCAGCAGGACCAGCAAUUGGGAAGGAGAGUUGUAUGUAGAAAAAUAAGAUCGAGGGCAAAUCAGAACCCUUCACCAAUUCUAAAUCUGUCUCCCAAUGUGUCUGACUUACGGCAGUCUUCAAAGAAAAAUGGCUGCUCCUUGGUUUCCACCUCAAAAAUCCCAUACA
Molecule: long non-coding RNA, 2154 nt
Organism: Felis catus (domestic cat)
Lineage: Eukaryota; Metazoa; Chordata; Mammalia; Carnivora; Felidae
Exons: 8
Source: RefSeq, a predicted model, not a curated record